Molecule: transfer RNA, 65 nt
Filed under: Macoma balthica
Lineage: Eukaryota; Metazoa; Mollusca; Bivalvia; Cardiida; Tellinidae
Description: Limecola balthica tRNA-Arg
Source: RNAcentral
CAGAAGGCAGUAUUAGUGUAUAUGUAGUUUCGGCCUACAAGGAGGGUUAACUAGUCCCUUUCUGU